This 1158-nucleotide long non-coding RNA is filed under the name Equus caballus (horse). RNAcentral describes it as "lncRNA (ENSECAG00000051832.1)". The record is from RNAcentral. Lineage: Eukaryota; Metazoa; Chordata; Mammalia; Perissodactyla; Equidae.
UGAAGUAUCAUUUUUUCAUUAAAAAAUAUGAGACAGUUUGUCAUACUCACAACUGCCGGGUCUACCUGCAAUCUCUUUGUUCCAGGAGAUGAGAGGUGACUCCUGUGCCUCGAUGUCCUGCUCUCUGGAAGCUCAACUGAGCUGCUCCCCAUGGAAGACGGGCCAGGGAGGCUUUUGUCCUCAGGAGGCAAAGCUGUGGCCUACUGACAUUUUUUCCUGACAGCUGCUCUUAGGUGAAACACUGGCCUUGGUUUACCAGAUGCCUGAGCAUCUCAUAAGAAACUGCCCAAGCGGCCAAACAAUCCCAUCAGGUUACCAAGGUUCGUGUCGACUUAGGAGAUAAGCAGGGCCAGGUGUCCAGAACCCAGCCGCCAUUGUUAUCUCUCUGGCGUCAGGUGACAGCCAUUGAGGGUCAGUGUCCUGGCUUCAAGUUUCCAGAGCACUCAAGAAUUGCCUUUCUUUUCCCAUCCCAAACUAAAAAAGGAGGGAAGGUGGUGAGAACAUUGGUUCUUUGGAAAUACAUCUUGGCUACCUUGACUUGGGUGAGGGGAUAGGUUUGACGAUGACUAGUGUAAAUCUCUGUUGGGUUCCACCUACUGGACUUCCAUGUAACCCUCCACUUGUCCUUCCUUCCAACAGAUAGGUAGGGUCCGAUCUAGUGGAGGAAAGUGAGAGGCCUGGCCCUACCUCGCUGUGUCUCCCCUGCUCUCCCCACCUCCGAGUCUCAGGGCCCUCCUAAUCCUUCCAGCACCUCAGCCAAAACUGACUCACAGGAAAGAAGCUAGCUUCUCAUUCACUUUGACAGACAUUUAUGGACUGUGCUGAUUGGCACUAUGACUGGUUUAUGAUUUCUGACCUCACAUGUGAAUACUGUGAAGCGAGUCUUUCAUUCAUCUCUAAUUGAACACCAUUCCUGGGCCACUUGUUAGCUCUUCAAAUCCUGCUCUCCCUCCUCAUGGAAGGGACAAAAUUGUCAUCUACUGGCUCCUAUGUGCCAGGUAUUGUGGGUGGCAGUUCUAUGCAGUGGUUAAUAUAGGUGCCAGAUCACUCAAGUUCAAAUCCUGGCUCUACUAAGUACUAGCUCUCUGCGCUUGGAAACAUUACUUGACCUCACUGAGGUUUUCUCACCCGUUAAGUCGGGAUAUAACAGAAUUUAUG